UCUGGCCCUCGGGUCCGAGUUGUAAUUUGUAGAGGAUGCUUUUGGUGCGGUGCCUUCCGAGUUCCCUGGAACGGGACGCCAUAGAGGGUGAGAGCCCCGUCUGGUUGGACACCAAGCCUCUGUAAAGCUCCUUCGACGAGUCGAGUAGUUUGGGAAUGCUGCUCUAAAUGGGAGGUAUAUGUCUUCUAAAGCUAAAUACCGGCCAGAGACCGAUAGCGCACAAGUAGAGUGAUCGAAAGAUGAAAAGCACUUUGAAAAGAGGGUUAAAUAGUACGUGAAAUUGUUGAAAGGGAAGCGCUUAUGACCAGACUUGAGCCCGGUUAAUCAUCCAGCCUUCUGGCUGGUGCACUUGGCCGGCUCAGGCCAGCAUCAGUUCGGCGCGGGGGAUAAAGGUUUCGGGAAUGUGGCUCCUCCGGGAGUGUUAUAGCCCGUUGCGUAAUACCCUGCGCUGGACUGAGGUUCGCGCAUCUGCAAGGAUGCUGGCGUAAUGGUCAUCAGCGACCCGUCUUGAAACACGGACCAAGGAGUCGUCUUCGUAUGCGAGUGUUCGGGUGUCAAACCCCUACGCGUAAUGAAAGUGAACGCAGGUGAGAGCUUCGGCGCAUCAUCGACCGAUCCUGAUGUUCUCGGAUGGAUUUGAGUAAGAGCAUACGGGGCCGGACCCGAAAGAAGGUGAACUAUGCCUGUAUAGGGUGAAGCCAGAGGAAACUCUGGUGGAGGCUCGCAGCGGUUCUGACGUGCAAAUCGAUCGUCAAAUAU
This 759-nucleotide ribosomal RNA is filed under the name Cosmospora khandalensis. Its description in RNAcentral is "eukaryotic LSU rRNA". It matches the Rfam family "Eukaryotic large subunit ribosomal RNA", at positions 121 to 912 of the family's 3401-position model. The record is from RNAcentral. Lineage: Eukaryota; Fungi; Ascomycota; Sordariomycetes; Hypocreales; Nectriaceae.